Odocoileus virginianus texanus is the source of this 2005-nucleotide non-coding RNA. The record is from RefSeq and is a predicted model, not a curated record. NCBI's taxonomy places the organism in Eukaryota, Metazoa, Chordata, Mammalia, Artiodactyla, Cervidae.
CAGAGGCUCCUGGACUACGCUGACGUUCACGUGCCCCAGGUUUCCGUACUUGGAGAGCUGAGUGGGUGGAAUGCCUGACCCAGAAGGUCUGUGCGAUCUGAGCUGGAGGAAAAAGGACUUGGAGACAGCGAUUUAAAUAAGGAACAAGGUCUUCCAGGAAGACAGUGCAAAACUGGAUAAAGAGCUCUUGCUCCCCACUGCUGAAGGCAGCCUCUUCUGCACGAUGGAAGGCCAGGAUUACUUUAGUUACCUAGGAGAAAAGGGCACCGCCAAUUACCUGUUAAUCUAUCCCCAUCAGCAGUGACAAACAUGUGCAGCCCUCAAGUUUUCCAAAAGAACAGUCCUUCCAAACAGUACAUCAUUAUCUUGUUUAAAUUCACAACUGUGGUCAGUCUUCACAAUUCUGUCACUUCAAUGAUAUAUUCCUUACUCAACUAGUUUUAUUAUUGGUGCAGUUUCCAAUUCCAGUGCAGGAGCAUCAUGAAAUACACAGAAUACAUCAUUUUUGGCUCCCAUGGGAGAUGGACUAGAACUCUGAUGGAUCCAGGAAAAUACCAGCAAUACCAUAAAAGGUUUUACUGAGUAAGGCCUCUGAAGUUCCAAAAUGCUAGAACCACUAGAAAAUUGUAAAGGAGGAGGAAAACAGAGCUGGAAAAGAACAUACAUUAUUUCCACAUACAAAUAACAGGGCAAGCCUAGCUAACAUUACAGACAGGUGUCACGGUGACAGGGAUAAGAACAGAGACUCUGGGAAACUGCCUGGUGGUUCAGUGGUUAGAAAUCUGUGCUUUCAUUGCCGAGGGCCUGGGUUCAAUCCCUGGUCACAAGCUGCAAUGUACCGCCAAACAAACAAGUAAAUAACAAAGAGCCUCUGGUGCUAAAUGUUCUGGGCUCUAGUUCAAGCUGUGCACUCAGUGCUUCUGUGGCCUCUAAGUGAUUACUUAGCCCUCUGUGUCUGACAGUUCACUCAUCUAUAAAGCAGAGCCAGCAGAAGGACCUAACCUCAUAGAAUUGUGAGGAUAAAGGCUGAAUAUGUAUAAAGUGUGAUGAACUAUGUGACAUGAGGAGGACAUCAACAGAAAGACUCGAUACAAGCACGUCACAACUGCCGCCUGGUUGACAGGGACUAUAGGAUGCCAUCAAUUGUAAGAAUCUAAAGAUGUAAUGUUUAAAAACAUGCACCAUACUCAGAAAUUAGUAGGAUCAGUAGUGUUCCUUAUAUUAGAUAGAAUUCUAAGAUGGCUCUUGUGAUCCCCACCUCCUGGUACCCACUCCUUUGUGUUUCCUCCUCCUCCUUGAGCGCAGGCAGAACCAAAAGGAUAUGGCAAAGGUGAAGGAUUCUGCAGUUUUCAUUAACAUCCCAAAUCGGCUGACUGUGAAUUAAUGAAAAAGGAAGUUAUCCUGGGUGGGCCUGACUUAAUUAGAUGAAUCUCUUAAAAAGAGGGCUGAGGAAGAGACUCAAGGAGGAGAGAUGCUCUCCCACUGGCCCUGAAGAAUCAAAGCUGUGAGCUGCUCAUGGAGUGAGGUGGUCUCCAGGAGUUGAGGGCCUCAGUCCUACACUGUAAGGAACAGGAAUAUGCCACUGUGAAUGAACCUGAAAGGAGGGGAUCCCGAGCCCCAGAUGAGCCCACAGUCGGGCCAACACCUCGAUUACAACCUUGUGAGCAGAAGCUCAACCCAGUUAUACUGUGCCUGGACUCCUGACCCACAGAAACUGAGACAUGAUAAAUAUGUGUUGUUUUAAGCUGCUAUGUUUGUGUGAGUUUGUCAUGCAGCAACAGAAAACCAAUACAUCACUGAAAAAUUACUACAGGUGAGCCACUUCAUGAAGGAGGACUAACCAGACCUUUUCAACUAGAAAAACCUCUAAAACCACACUAAACCUAAGUCAGCAGGCACCCUGUCACACAGACUGGUGUAUUACAAAAGUCUCGCCACCUGUAACAAAAGGAGCACCCUGCUACCGCCCCCCGCAAAAAGAAAGGAGGCCCCAGUAGAGAGCCAA